This is a long non-coding RNA of Gadus morhua (Atlantic cod), 4417 nucleotides long. Lineage: Eukaryota; Metazoa; Chordata; Actinopteri; Gadiformes; Gadidae. The record is from Ensembl.
AACAUGCCCGCUAGUGCACCUGUCAUAUCUAUGCUGCUGUGACCUGUUCCUUUUCGACAUUUUCGUAUUUUUCUGUGACUUCAGAGGGAGGUAAACAGGAAGUAAGUGACCUGGCCGUGUCAGGCUGAUCAGAUUUGACAGAACGCGGAGCAGUCCGAUUUGGGUUGACGGUUCGGACGGUUGUUUCCAAUGUUAAGAUUCCGAGAAAACGAUGUGCAAUGUCCCUUUCCACUUCGCAUCCGCUCCAUGUGUGUCGUCGUCGGACGCCUCAUGCCGCUCUGCUAGCUCACCAGCCUCCCUGUAUUAUCCAACAUCCUUCCCUGCCGAUGAUGCAGUUUAAACAGCAAAACACUGGACCCGUCCAACCUGAGGACCACGACCAAAUUGACGGACCCAGCAGCCCUGGGGUCAACACCCAGACCGAUGGACCCUGCAGCCCUGGUGACAUCUGGAGCGACGCCAUGAGUGAGAUGCUACCCAGCACAGCAGAUUCCCUGAAAGCCAUGUCAACCACUCCCUCCGAUAUGUCCCUGAGGGCCCUAUUUAACGGUCUGAAACGCAAGUAAGAAGCGCCAAGUGCAAGUAGCUUUGUGGGCGAUUCUAUGGCGAUGUUGCUAUUUUACCGGCGCAAAAAUGACUCUUGCGCCUGGCGCAUAAGGGUUUGUCUGAAGUAGCCUUAUUACCCGUAUUGUGGUUUGGGCGUAACAUGCAAUAAACCAAUGAGAGUGCCUUUCCACAACUUAAGUACUGAGUCCUCAAAUAAAUUUCGGCAAAGAAAACUUAACACACAUAUGAUAUGCUGUAACUGUGGUUCUAUUUAAUGAUAUACGCAAUACUAUAAACAAUAUACAAAUAUACAAUAUUAUAAACAUCGUUUCUUAUAAGUAUUGUAUGCAUUAUCGUUAUCGACUUGUGUUCCUAAUAUGCCUGUGUCCCCCCGUUAAUAAACAUUGCCAUUGACUGUAUUAUGCGUGACGUGUUUUGUUUGCGUGUGUCUAAACAGAUGGACGCACACACGCGCUCCCACAUUCAUUAAUUAUUUUACACAUACACACACGCGCCCGCAUUCAUUCGUUCUUUUUAACACUCACUCGCGGUCUCACGAUCAAAUACUCAUCAAUCCUAAAAGUUAUGGGCAUGUACACGACACGUGUCUGUGUCAAGAAAAUAUCUGUUUGCUGUAUGGUGUUUGCAGAUGCAUUGAUUUAAAAGUACAACUUAUUACCGCUGUAUCAGCUGUUCUUUCCCAAAUAAUUGAUCCUUCCCUAAUUUACCGACGCGUGGCGCAGGAGGGAAAAGAACGCUCUGCGCCAGUUGGAAACUAGCAACGACACAUGCGCCAGUGAGAAAGUAAAUUGCGCCGGAUGCAAGAUAGGGCCCUUAGAGACAAGAAGAAAGGCUCCUGGUACAUCCAGUCCUUGUGCCAGAAUAUUGUACUCUUGGUUCCACGGUGAGUGAAACGUUCCUGUUUAGAUAUUGUUGUCUGUCAUCAUAUUUUGCUACGAAAAUCCGAAAGCUAAUAAAUACAGUAGGGGCCAACAUUUAUAUUUGUCUGCUUUUUCUGUUGGUUUAUUUUGAUGGGUUCACCCUGUUCUUGGUUCAUGUCACUUCCGUUUGAUUGGCACAUGGGUGGGGUUUAAUCUAUAUACCUGGGCACUGGGAUCUGCAAAGUUAUGGAAAGGGGGUUAGUGGCGGUCCUGAUAUUUACUGUGUACCGUCGUCGUCAUCAUUGUUAACAUUGAAAUUGUCAUCACCUUUAUCCUUUAUUUAUUGGACUGGAUUACCAUCUACAAGUUUCCAUUCACCAGUUUGGAAAAACGCGUAACUGCAUGGAGGCCACGUAUUCCUCUUGGUGGCCUUUAUUGGAAAGCUGUCGCUACAAAUACAUUUCUAAAUGUAUUUUUCUAUAACCGUUGCACGCUUUAGACAUUAUAUCUUAGAUUUUUAUUUUGUAUGUAAUUAUUUUCUUUGUGCCAUCAUUUAAUAUUCAUAUCCAGUUGUUUUUUUCAUUUUAUAUUAGUAUCCUCAUACUUUUUUCUCAUACUCAGAAAAAAUAAUCCUUGAAUGUAAAUUAAGCUCUUUCGGACUAUGAAGAAACGACUUGCUAUUACUGUUCACUUAUUACUGACUGGGACUUGUGUGUUCUUUGCCUUCCCAGUGGUUCACCUUAGGUGAACAACGACGUGAGCCAGAUGUCCAACCCCACCAGCAGCAUGAGACAGAUGCCCCAACCAACUCCUUCAAUAAUAAUAAUAAUAAUAAUAAUAAUACAUUUAAUUUAGAGGCGCCUUUCAAGACACCCAAGGUCACCUUACAGAGCAUAUAGUCAUCAUACAUUAUUUAAAAAAAACAAGACAUUGUGUAAAAAUAAAUAAACAUAAGCAAUAAGAAAUAAAUAAAACAAAAACAAGACAAAACAAAACAAAAAAAACAAUCAAAACAGUGAUCAGUUAGACGUUGUGUGCGAGUUUGAACAGGUGAGUUUUGAGUUGUGACUUGAAGGUUGUAAUGGUGUCUGAUUGUUUUAUGUGUGGGGGGAGGGAGUUCCAGAGCCUGGGUGCUGAACAGCUGAAUGACCGGGCACCCAUUGUAGUGAGUCGUGAUGUGGGGAUACAUAGUAGUCCAGCAGAGGUUGAGCGGAGGGAGCGGGAGGGAGUGUAUUCUUGGAGGAGGUCACAGAGAUAACUGGGGGCUAGGUUGUGGAGAGCUUUGUAGGUGAGGAGUAGGGUUUUGUAUUGGAUACGGUAGUGUACUGGGAGCCAGUGAAGUUGAAUGAGGACAGGGGUGAUGUGGUCAGAUGAUUUGUUGCGGGUGAUGAUCCGGGCGGCUGAGUUCUGAAUGAUCUGCAGUCUGUUGAUGAGUUUGGUGGGGAGUCCGGUGAGGAGGGCGUUGCAGUAGUCUAUGCGUGAUGUGACAAAUGAGUGAACUAGGAUUUCAGUGCUGGAUUGGGUCAGUGAUGGGCGGAGCCUGGCGAUGUUGCGGAGGUGGAAGAAUGCAGUCCGGGUGAUGUUGUGAAUAUGGGGUGUGAAUGAGAGGGUGUUGUCCAGGAUGACACCGAGGCUCUUGACUAGGGUACUGGGAAUCCAUCGAUAAUUAUGAGUGGAGCUGGGGUGUGUUGUGAUUUAGUGAGGGUGGAUUUGGAUCCGAUGAGCAGGGCCUCGGUCUUGUUUCCAUUGAGUUUCAGGAAGUUCCUGCUCAACCAGCUCCGGAUCUCUUCCAGGCAUGUGAUGAGGGAGGUGGGGGGGAUGGCAGCGGUGGGUUUGGUAGAGAUGUAGACCUGUGUGUCGUCAGCGUAGCAGUGAAAAUGGACCCCAUGGUGACGGAGGAGUGUGCCCAGCGGGAGGAGGUAAGUCCUUCUACCGCUCAACCAUUGAAAGUGUGCUCACUUACUGCAUCACAGCAUGGUAUGCUGGGAGUUCGGCGGCAGACAGGACGGCACUUCAGAGGGUUAUAGGCACAGCUCAGAAGAUCACUGGCUGCCCACUGCCCUCCCUGGAAGAGCUGGCCAGCUCCCGCUGCCGAAACAGGACGAGUGCCAUUCUAAAAGACGCUGCGCACCCUGCUCACCACCUGUUCGAUCUGCUUCCCUCUGGCAGGCGAUACAGGUCAAUGAAAUCACGCACCACCAGACUAACCAACAGCUUCUUCCCCUGGGCCAUACGUACGCUAAACAAAAAUAACCCCUGUGCAAUACAUAGACAACCACAUAAUCGAUCACCACUACCUCUGGACAUUCCUCAUCUUGCUUACCUUCCUGGACCUGCUGCUAUUUAGAUAUAUGUGGGCAGAAGGCGUUGUUGUCUGGGAGGGAGGGGAGGGUGUAGGACACUUUAAUGUGCCUUAAGUGGAAGGCAGGGGGAGGGGGUUAUUGGGCUUAUUGUUGUUAUUGUUGUUAUAUAUUUAUUAAUAUUUCUUACUGCAUUCUAUUUAUUUAUUUAUUUAAAAAAGCACUGAACAAGAUCUGCACAUUAAUUUCGUUGUGUAAAUACUUUGUAUUUAACCCAAUGACAAAUAAAGAUUCUAAAUUCUAAAAAAAAAAGUGGUGAAGAGGAGUGGACCCAAGACUGACCCCUGGGGGACACCCAGUGAGAUAUCUGAACACCCAGACUUGUGGUUGCUUAGUUGAACAAAUUGUUGACGGCCGGUGAUCACCGGCCGGUGAUCGACGGACAAUGUCGAUAAGGUUAUGUUGUCUUUAUUUUAUAAAUCUUUUAUAGAAUCUGUUCUCACUUUUUCUUUUAUUUCCUGGUAUGGGGGCAUCAGCCUUAGGGACAAAAACAACCUCAGCCAUAUUGUGAAGGUGGCUGGAAAGUUGAUUGGCUGUCCACAAGUAUCCUUGGACUGUAAAAUUCACCCCCUUCAUUGUUCAUUUGAGGCCCUUGUCUCAGGCCGGCGACUAAGAGUCCCUCUUUCUAAG